GCUGUGGUAGCUCAGUGGCAGAGCACACCCUUGGUAAGGGUGAGGUCGGGAGUUCAAUCCUCCCUCACAGCACCA
RNAcentral lists this transfer RNA (75 nucleotides) under Yoonia ponticola. Its description in RNAcentral is "tRNA-Thr". It matches the Rfam family "tRNA". Rfam says of the family: Transfer RNA (tRNA) molecules are approximately 80 nucleotides in length. The record is from RNAcentral. Lineage: Bacteria; Pseudomonadati; Pseudomonadota; Alphaproteobacteria; Rhodobacterales; Paracoccaceae.